GAAAGCUUCGGCUAUUAGCGAUUUAUUCGCAUAAAGUUCUAUAUAGAAUACAGAUGAUGACUAUUUUCUAUAUAAAAGUCUUGACUAAAACACGUGCCAGCAGUCGCGGUAACACGAGACAGACUAGUGUUAUUCAUCUUUAAUAGGUUUAAAGGGUACCUAGACGGCAGAUUUCGCCUCCAUUGAAUUGGAAUGGUACAUUUUUGCUAGAGUUUUAUAUGAGAGGAAUUUAGUACUAACAGAGUAGAGAUGAAAUGCUUUGAUACUGUAGGGCACUGAUAACGGCGAAGGCAGACCUUUAUGUAAAAACUGACGUUGAGGGACGAAGGCUUGGGUAACAAACAGGAUUAGGUACCCUAAUAGUCCAGGCAGACAAUGAUGAGUGCCAUAGAUUAGAAUAUUUUUGAUCUAUAAAUGAAAGUGGAAGCACUCCACCUUAAGAGUAAUACGGCAACGUAGGAACUGAAAUCAUUAGACCGUUUCUGAUACCAGUAGUGAAGUAUGUUGUUCAAUUCGAUGACCCACGAAAAAUCUUACCACAAUUUGAAUAUUAUAACAACAAACUCCUUUUUUAGGGAUAUAGGAAAGUCUUUUUAAUAAUCUAAUUAUUAAUUAGAUGUAAGUGUUAAUAAUACAGGUGUUGCAUGGCUGUCUUCAGUUGAUGUCGUGAGAUGCAGGUUAGCUCCAAUAAAUCAACGUGAACCCUUACUUUAUUUUAAACGGCAUUGCCGUUUACAUAGAGUAGUUCCCCGGCAUAUCGGAAAGAUAACAGGGACCAAGACAAGUCCUCAUGGCCCUAACAUUGUGGGCUAUAGACGUGCCACAUAUACC
This 831-nucleotide ribosomal RNA is filed under the name Arthonia pinastri. RNAcentral describes it as "SSU rRNA". It matches the Rfam family "Bacterial small subunit ribosomal RNA", at positions 410 to 1235 of the family's 1533-position model. Lineage: Eukaryota; Fungi; Ascomycota; Arthoniomycetes; Arthoniales; Arthoniaceae. The record is from RNAcentral.